AAAGCGGGGGCAACCUCGCAAGUAAAGUGGCGUACGGGUGAGUAACACGUGGGUAAUCUACCUCAUAGGUGGGGAAUAACGCUGGGAAACCGGCGCUAAUACCGCAUAAGCUCGAGAGAGGAAAGCAGCAAUGCGCUGUGAGAGGAGCCCGCGGCCGAUUAGCUAGUUGGGAGGGUAAAAGCCUACCAAGGCAAAGAUCGGUAGCCGGCCUGAGAGGGCACACGGCCACACUGGCACUGAAACACGGGCCAGACUCCUACGGGAGGCAGCAGUGGGGAAUCUUGCACAAUGGGGGAAACCCUGAUGCAGCGACGCCGCGUGAGCGAUGAAGCCCUUCGGGGUGUAAAGCUCUUUCGGCAGGGACGAUAAUGACGGUACCUGCAGAAGCAGCUGCGGCUAACUACGUGCCAGCAGCCGCGGUAAUACGUAGGCAGCGAGCGUUGUUCGGAGUUACUGGGCGUAAAGGGUGUGUAGGCGGUUCUCUAAGUUUGGUGUGAAAUCUCCCGGCUCAACCGGGAGGGUGCGCCGAAAACUGGGGGACUCGAGUGCGGGAUGGGAGAGUAGAAUUCCUGGUGUAGCGGUGAAAUGCGUAGAUAUCAGGAGGAAUACCGGUGGUGUAGACGGCUCUCUGGACCGCCACUGACGCUGAGACACGAAAGCGUGGGUAGCAAACAGGAUUAGAUACCCUGGUAGUCCACGCCCUAAACGAUGCAUAUUUGGUGUAGGUCAUUCAGUUGAUCUGUGCCGGAGCUAACGCGUUAAAUAUGCCGCCUGGGGAGUACAGUCGCAAGGCUGAAACUC
Molecule: ribosomal RNA, 801 nt
Filed under: uncultured Bacillota bacterium
Lineage: Bacteria; Bacillati; Bacillota
Description: bacterial SSU rRNA
Rfam family: Bacterial small subunit ribosomal RNA
Source: RNAcentral